RNAcentral lists this ribosomal RNA (419 nucleotides) under uncultured bacterium. Its description in RNAcentral is "bacterial SSU rRNA". It matches the Rfam family "Bacterial small subunit ribosomal RNA", at positions 358 to 770 of the family's 1533-position model. The record is from RNAcentral.
GGAAUCUUGUGCAAUGGGGGAAACCCUGACACAGCCAUGCCGCGUGUGUGAAGAAGGCCCUAGGGUUGUAAAGCACUUUCAGUAGGGAAGAAAAAGCCGGGCUAAUAUCCCGGUCAUACGACAUUACCUCCAGAAGAAGCACCGGCUACCCCCGUGCCAGCAGCCGCGGUAAUACGGAGGGUGCAAACGUUAAUCGGAAUUACUGGGCGUAAAGCGCGCGUAGGUGGUUCAUUAAGUGGGAUGUGAAAGCCCCGGGCUCAACCUGGGAAUUGCAUUCCAAACUGACGAACUAGAGUGCGAUAGAGGGGGGUAGAAUUCAGAGUGUAGCGGUGAAAUGCGUAGAUAUUCUGAGGAAUACCAGUGGCGAAGGCGGCCCCCUGGAUUGACACUGACACUGAGGCGCGAAAGCGUGGGGAGCA